Molecule: ribosomal RNA, 507 nt
Filed under: uncultured bacterium
Lineage: Bacteria
Description: partial 16S ribosomal RNA
Rfam family: Bacterial small subunit ribosomal RNA
Source: RNAcentral
UGAGGAAUAUUGGUCAAUGGGCGAGAGCCUGAACCAGCCAAGUCGCGUGAAGGAAGACUGCCUUAUGGGUUGUAAACUUCUUUUAUACAGGAAUAAAAAGGCUUACGUGUAGGCCAUUGCAAGUACUGUAUGAAUAAGCAUCGGCUAACUCCGUGCCAGCAGCCGCGGUAAUACGGAGGAUGCGAGCGUUAUCCGGAUUUAUUGGGUUUAAAGGGUGCGCAGGCGGGCUUUUAAGUCAGCGGUGAAAUCUGGACGCUUAACGUCCAAACUGCCGUUGAAACUGGGAGUCUUGAGUAUGGAUGAAGUAGGCGGAAUUCGUUGUGUAGCGGUGACAUGCAUAGAUAUAACGAGGAACUCCGAUUGCGUAGGCAGCUUACUAAGCCAUAACUGACGCUCAUGCACGAAAGCGUGGGGGAUCAAACAGGAUUAGAUACCCUGGUAGUCCACGCCGUAAAACGAUGAUUUACUAGUUGUAUGCCGAUAUGAUAGUAUGUGACUAAGCGAAAG